Molecule: microRNA precursor, 77 nt
Filed under: Drosophila grimshawi
Lineage: Eukaryota; Metazoa; Arthropoda; Insecta; Diptera; Drosophilidae
Description: mir-932 microRNA precursor family
Rfam family: mir-932 microRNA precursor family
Source: Rfam by way of RNAcentral
UGUAACUUUCAAUUCCGUAGUGCAUUGCAGUUGAUUUAAGCAACUACUGCAUGCCCUGCAGAAUUGGCAGCUCUGUU